UACGGAGGUGGCAAGCGUUGUUCGGAAUUACUGGGCGUAAAGGGCGCGUAGGCGGCUUGGCAAGUCGGAUGUGAAAUCCCCGAGCUUAACUUGGGAAUUGCAUCCGAAACUGCUUUGCUUGAGUCCUGGAUGGGGUAGUGGAAUUCCCAGUGUAGCGGUGAAAUGCGUAGAUAUUGGGAGGAACACCGGUGGCGAAGGCGGCUACCUGGACAGUGACUGACGCUGAGGCGCGAAAGCUAGGGGAG
This 245-nucleotide ribosomal RNA is filed under the name uncultured Acidobacterium sp. Its description in RNAcentral is "partial 16S ribosomal RNA". It matches the Rfam family "Bacterial small subunit ribosomal RNA", at positions 524 to 768 of the family's 1533-position model. The record is from RNAcentral. Lineage: Bacteria; Pseudomonadati; Acidobacteriota; Terriglobia; Terriglobales; Acidobacteriaceae.